AUCUUAAAAUUUUAUUAUGGUGUAGUGUUUUCCCGGAGUGGAUUGAGAGUAAUUCUGAUUAUUGUUUAAUUUUAUCAUAUUGAUUCCAUUAUGUGUUAUUACUUUUAAUAAUAGUUGCCACACGCUUUUCUCUUAUUGGUUCGCACUCUUUAUUUAUGAGUUCAGAGUUGAUCUUAUUUUAUUACACCAUUCAUAAUGGAUUUAUUCCAAAAAAGUGAGCCUCUGGUAAGUAUAAUAUUAUCUAGUGUAGUUACAACUUUUAAAAAUAUUGUAAUUAGUUUACGAUUAUCAGAAUAAUUUUGUUUAUCGUACGUUAUUAUAAUUCUAUAUACUUGUGUUAGUUUAAUUCAUAUCUUCAAAUUCUCACCAAUAGAAAAUUAUGUUUAUUAACUGAACUGACUUGUGCUUCAAAUGAUAUGGAUUUUAAUAAUAGACAACAUUUCAUUUUACCUUCGUCUACAUCGUUUAAAUCUUCCACCUCUCCUACUACAAUAAAUUAAACACUUACGAAUAAUGAAAUAAACCUAUGUAAUGGUCAUUGUAUUGAAAAUUAAAUUUUUAACAAAUAGCUAGAAGAACAAAAGGUUAGCGUUCCACUAAGCUACACCCAGUCUUAUACCUUUUCUUUCUAUCAAAGGAAAUUUUUUUUGUAUGCUAAAAUGAUGUAAUUGUGAAGGUCAGUUACGGUCCUUUCUGUGCUUUGUUACUAUCCUAAUCUAAACUAAUCCAUAAUGUUUAUGUCAAUAUUGGAACUGAGCGAUGCAGUAAAAUUAACCGGCUUCUCUAUCAAUACUUACAUUUAUCUUACACGAUAAAACUGAGUAUUUGAUAGUAAUAUUUACAGAUUUAUUAUCCAGUAGUUUAUUUGUUUAAACAUCAUAUCAUCAUAUUGAAACAUCAGAUUUGUUAUGCAGUGAUAAAUUAAUGCAUGAUUAACUAUGAAGAUCAUGGUUCUCAAAAAAAAUUUCAUUAAAAGAAAGUUUGUUAUAUAAAAGUUUUACUGUAUUCACAUUUUUUUAGAUCCUUUCUGAUGUCCAUGAAGAAAUUAUUGCUAGAUUUUUAAAGUAUGCUCAGUUUGGAGAAACAACUACUUAAUGGAGGAAAUCUAUAAUCUUUAUUAUUAAUUAAGGCAGUUUUGUAAUAAAUUAAAGUUAAUUAAAUGUCAUUUCAACUUCAAUACAAAUUCAGUGUGCAUUUAAGAUUUGAAUAAAGAAUAACUGGUGGAAUAUUAUCA
Long non-coding RNA from Daktulosphaira vitifoliae (grape phylloxera), 1234 nucleotides. RefSeq lists it as uncharacterized. Lineage: Eukaryota; Metazoa; Arthropoda; Insecta; Hemiptera; Phylloxeridae. The transcript has 4 exons. The record is from RefSeq and is a predicted model, not a curated record.